Molecule: transfer RNA, 72 nt
Filed under: Salmo salar (Atlantic salmon)
Lineage: Eukaryota; Metazoa; Chordata; Actinopteri; Salmoniformes; Salmonidae
Rfam family: tRNA
About the family: Transfer RNA (tRNA) molecules are approximately 80 nucleotides in length.
Source: Rfam by way of RNAcentral
UCCUGUGUGGCUCAGUUGGUAGAGCAUGGUGCUUGUAACGCUAGGGCUCUGGGUUUGAUUCCCAUGGGGGAG